AAGCAAGACAGCGAUGGUGUUCGCUGUAAAUAUCUGAUUAAGAUUGAUGACACCUGUCCUUUU
RNAcentral lists this non-coding RNA (63 nucleotides) under Pediococcus argentinicus. Its description in RNAcentral is "Fluoride sequence". It matches the Rfam family "Fluoride riboswitch aptamer (crcB RNA motif)". The record is from Rfam by way of RNAcentral. Lineage: Bacteria; Bacillati; Bacillota; Bacilli; Lactobacillales; Lactobacillaceae.